Molecule: ribosomal RNA, 488 nt
Filed under: uncultured bacterium
Lineage: Bacteria
Description: bacterial SSU rRNA
Rfam family: Bacterial small subunit ribosomal RNA
Source: RNAcentral
GAUGAACGCUAGCGGGAGGCUUAACACAUAGCAAGUCGAGGGGCAGCAUAGGGUAGCAAUACUCUGAUGGCGACCGGCAAACGGGUGAGUAACGCGUAUGCAACCUACCCUGUACAGGGGGAUAACCCGGAGAAAUUCGGACUAAUAUCCCGUAAUAAUAUCCGGAGGCAUCUUUGGAUAUUUAAAGUUUCGACGGUACGGGAUGGGCAUGCGUAACAUUAGCUGGUUGGUAAGGUAACGGCUUACCAAGGCUAUGAUGUUUAGGGGUCCUGAGAGGGUGGUCCCCCACACUGGUACUGAGACACGGACCAGACUCCUACGGGAGGCAGCAGUGAGGAAUAUUGGUCAAUGGGCGCAAGCCUGAACCAGCCAUCCCGCGUGCAGGAAGACGGCCCUAUGGGUUGUAAACUGCUUUUCCAGGGAGAGAAACUUACGCACGUGUUGCGUGACUGACGGUACCCUGGGAAUAAGCAUCGGCUAACUCCGUG